GCGCCAGCGUCCAUAGGAAAGCAUUGUAAAUGCUUUCCUAUGAGACCGGCUGAAUGCGCGCGCAGCUCUUGCCGCGCGUGCGCAUUCAGCCGGCGGGGCGUAACGGAGGCGGAGAGCUCUCCGCCCAGCGCUGGAAAAAGGUAAGUUUUUACCCCUUUCCCCCCUCCAGAGCCGGGCGGGAGGGGGUCCCUGAGGGUGGGGGCA
Non-coding RNA from Pelobates cultripes (western spadefoot toad), 204 nucleotides. Lineage: Eukaryota; Metazoa; Chordata; Amphibia; Anura; Pelobatidae. The record is from the annotation of a GenBank genome assembly.